UACGAAGGGUGCAAGCGUUAAUCGGAAUUACUGGGCGUAAAGCGCGCGUAGGUGGUUCAGUAAGUUGGAAGUGAAAGCCCCGGGCUCAACCUGGGAAUUGCAUUUGAAACUGGGAAACUAGAGUGUGUGAGAGGGGGGUAGAAUUCAAAGUGUAGCGGUGAAAUGCGUAGAUAUAGGAAGGAACACCAGUGGCGAAGGCGACCACCUGGACUGAUACUGACACUGAGGUGCGAAAGCGUGGGGAGCAAACAGG
Molecule: ribosomal RNA, 253 nt
Filed under: uncultured bacterium
Lineage: Bacteria
Description: partial 16S ribosomal RNA
Rfam family: Bacterial small subunit ribosomal RNA
Source: RNAcentral